This 164-nucleotide ribosomal RNA is filed under the name uncultured bacterium. Its description in RNAcentral is "partial 16S rRNA". It matches the Rfam family "Bacterial small subunit ribosomal RNA", at positions 355 to 511 of the family's 1533-position model. The record is from RNAcentral.
UAGGGAAUCUUCCACAAUGGGCGAAAGCCUGAUGGAGCAACGCCGCGUGUGUGAUGAAGGGUUUCGGCUCGUAAAACACUGUUGUAAGAGAAGAAUGACAUUGAGAGUAACUGUUCAAUGUGUGACGGUAUCUUACCAGAAAGGAACGGCUAACUACGUGCCGG